GCCCUUCCUACGGGAGGCAGCAGUGCGGGAAUAUUGGUCAAUGGGGGAAACCCUGAACCAGCAAUGCCGCGUGAGUGAUGAAGGUUUUCGGGUCGUAAAGCUCUGUCUUUGGGGACGAAUAAAUGACGGUACCCGAGGAGGAAGCCCCGGCUAACUACGUGCCAGCAGCCGCGGUAAUA
This 179-nucleotide ribosomal RNA is filed under the name uncultured bacterium. RNAcentral's name for it is "partial 16S ribosomal RNA". It matches the Rfam family "Bacterial small subunit ribosomal RNA", at positions 332 to 525 of the family's 1533-position model. The record is from RNAcentral.